This 66-nucleotide transfer RNA is filed under the name Agnetina aequalis. RNAcentral describes it as "tRNA-Cys". It matches the Rfam family "tRNA". From Rfam's summary of the family: Transfer RNA (tRNA) molecules are approximately 80 nucleotides in length. Their secondary structure includes four short double-helical elements and three loops (D, anti-codon, and T loops). Further hydrogen bonds mediate the characteristic L-shaped molecular structure. tRNAs have two regions of fundamental functional importance: the anti-codon, which is responsible for specific mRNA codon recognition, and the 3' end, to which the tRNAs corresponding amino acid is attached (by aminoacyl-tRNA synthetases). tRNAs cope with the degeneracy of the genetic code in two manners: having more than one tRNA (with a specific anti-codon) for a particular amino acid; and 'wobble' base-pairing, i.e. permitting non-standard base-pairing at the 3rd anti-codon position. Lineage: Eukaryota; Metazoa; Arthropoda; Insecta; Plecoptera; Perlidae. The record is from RNAcentral.
AGCCUUAUAGUCAAGGGUAUGAUAUUAGACUGCAAUUCUGAAGGGGUAAGUUAAUUACUAAGGCUU